Molecule: ribosomal RNA, 794 nt
Filed under: uncultured bacterium
Lineage: Bacteria
Description: bacterial SSU rRNA
Rfam family: Bacterial small subunit ribosomal RNA
Source: RNAcentral
AGAGUUUGAUCAUGGCUCAGAUUGAACGCUGGCGGCAUGCUUUACACAUGCAAGUCGAACGGUAACGCGGGGGCAACCCUGGCGACGAGUGGCGAACGGGUGAGUAAUACAUCGGAACGUGCCCAGUAGUGGGGGAUAGCUCGGCGAAAGCCGGAUUAAUACCGCAUACGACCUACGGGUGAAAGCGGGGGAUCGCAAGACCUCGCGCUAUUGGAGCGGCCGAUGGCAGAUUAGCUUGUUGGUGGGGUAAAAGCCUACCAAGGCGACGAUCUGUAGCUGGUCUGAGAGGACGACCAGCCACACUGGGACUGAGACACGGCCCAGACUCCUACGGGAGGCAGCAGUGGGGAAUUUUGGACAAUGGGCGCAAGCCUGAUCCCAGCAAUGCCGCGUGUGUGAUGAAGGCCUUCGGGUUGUAAAGCACUUUUGGUGGGAACGAAACGGUCCGGGCUAAUACCCUGGACUAAUGACGGUACCCGCAGAAUAAGCACCGGCUAACUACGUGCCAGCAGCCGCGGUAAUACGUAGGGUGCAAGCGUUAAUCGGAAUUACUGGGCGUAAAGCGUGCGCAGGCGGUUUUGUAAGACCGAUGUGAAAUCCCCGGGCUUAACCUGGGAACUGCAUUGGUGACUGCAAGGCUUGAGUGUGUCAGAGGGAGGUGGAAUUCCGCGUGUAGCAGUGAAAUGCGUAGAUAUGCGGAGGAACACCGAUGGCGAAGGCAGCCUCCUGGGAUAACACUGACGCUCAUGCACGAAAGCGUGGGGAGCAAACAGGAUUAGAUACCCUAGUAGUCC